GCCUUGCUAGCUCAGUCGGUAGAGCAUGAGACUCCUAAUCUCAGGCUCGUGGGUUCGAGACCCACGUUGGGUG
RNAcentral lists this transfer RNA (73 nucleotides) under Daphnia magna. Its description in RNAcentral is "tRNA-Arg". It matches the Rfam family "tRNA". Rfam says of the family: Transfer RNA (tRNA) molecules are approximately 80 nucleotides in length. Lineage: Eukaryota; Metazoa; Arthropoda; Branchiopoda; Diplostraca; Daphniidae. The record is from RNAcentral.